RNAcentral lists this ribosomal RNA (465 nucleotides) under uncultured bacterium. Its description in RNAcentral is "bacterial SSU rRNA". It matches the Rfam family "Bacterial small subunit ribosomal RNA", at positions 338 to 795 of the family's 1533-position model. The record is from RNAcentral.
CCUACGGGGGGCUGCAGUCGAGAAUCUUUCGCAAUGGGCGCAAGCCUGACGAAGCGACGCCGUGUGAGCGAAGAAGGCCCUUGGGUUGUAAAGCUCUUUCGCUUGCGAACAAGAGAGGUUAGUGAAUAACUAGCUGAUUUGAGGGUAGCGAGUAAAGAAGCACCGGCUAACUACGUGCCAGCAGCUGCGGUAAUACGUAGGGUGCAAGCAUUAAUCGGAUUUAUUGGGCGUAAAGGACGCGUAGGCGGAUUUGUAAGUUAGUUGUGAAAGCCCUGAGCUCAACUUAGGAAUGGCAAUUAAUACUGCAGGUCUUGAGGGUAGGCGGCGAUAACGGAAUUCCAUGUGUAGCGGUGAAAUGCGUAGAUAUAUGGAAGAACACCAGUGGCGAAAGCGGUUAUCGAGCUUAUACCUGACGCUGAGGCGUGAAAGCAAGGGGAGCAAACAGGAUUAGAUACCCAUGUAGUC